Molecule: transfer RNA, 89 nt
Filed under: Pirellulaceae bacterium
Lineage: Bacteria; Pseudomonadati; Planctomycetota; Planctomycetia; Pirellulales; Pirellulaceae
Description: tRNA-Ser
Rfam family: tRNA
About the family: Transfer RNA (tRNA) molecules are approximately 80 nucleotides in length. Their secondary structure includes four short double-helical elements and three loops (D, anti-codon, and T loops).
Source: RNAcentral
GGAGAGGUGGCUGAGUGGUCGAAAGCGCCUCAUUGCUAAUGAGGUGACCGGGUAAAACCGGUCCGCAGGUUCGAAUCCUGUCCUCUCCG